GACUCUCGGCAACGGAUAUCUCGGCUCUCGCAUCGAUGAAGAACGUAGCGAAAUGCGAUACUUGGUGUGAAUUGCAGAAUCCCGUGAACCAUCGAGUCUUUGAACGCAAGUUGCGCCCGAAGCCUCCGGCCGAGGGCACGCCUGCCUGGGCGUCACGCA
Molecule: ribosomal RNA, 159 nt
Filed under: Kielmeyera lathrophyton
Lineage: Eukaryota; Viridiplantae; Streptophyta; Magnoliopsida; Malpighiales; Calophyllaceae
Description: 5.8S ribosomal RNA
Rfam family: 5.8S ribosomal RNA
About the family: 5.8S ribosomal RNA (5.8S rRNA) is a component of the large subunit of the eukaryotic ribosome. It is transcribed by RNA polymerase I as part of the 45S precursor that also contains 18S and 28S rRNA.
Source: RNAcentral